Molecule: ribosomal RNA, 876 nt
Filed under: Penicillium hispanicum
Lineage: Eukaryota; Fungi; Ascomycota; Eurotiomycetes; Eurotiales; Aspergillaceae
Description: LSU rRNA
Rfam family: Eukaryotic large subunit ribosomal RNA
Source: RNAcentral
GCAUAUCAAUAAGCGGAGGAAAAGAAACCAACGGGAUUGCCUCAGUAACGGCGAGUGAAGCGGCAAGAGCUCAAAUUUGAAAGCUGGCCCCCCCCGGGGUCCGCGUUGUAAUUUGCAGAGGAUGCUUCGGGAGCGGCCCCCAUCUAAGUGCCCUGGAACGGGCCGUCAUAGAGGGUGAGAAUCCCGUCUGGGAUGGGGUGCCCGCGCCCGUGUGAAGCUCCUUCGACGAGUCGAGUUGUUUGGGAAUGCAGCUCUAAAUGGGUGGUAAAUUUCAUCUAAAGCUAAAUAUUGGCCGGAGACCGAUAGCGCACAAGUAGAGUGAUCGAAAGAUGAAAAGCACUUUGAAAAGAGAGUUAAACAGCACGUGAAAUUGUUGAAAGGGAAGCGCUUGCGACCAGACUCGCCCGCGGGGUUCAGCCGGCACUCGUGCCGGUGUACUUCCCCGCGGGCGGGCCAGCGUCGGUUUGGGCGGCCGGUCAAAGGCCCUCGGAAUGUAACGCCCCCCGGGGCGUCUUAUAGCCGAGGGUGCCAUGCGGCCAGCCCGGACCGAGGAACGCGCUCCGGCUCGGACGCUGGCGUAAUGGUCGUAAGCGACCCGUCUUGAAACACGGACCAAGGAGUCUAACAUCUACGCGAGUGUUCGGGUGUCAAACCCGUACGCGCAGUGAAAGCGAACGGAGGUGGGAACCCCCCCGGGGGCGCACCAUCGACCGAUCCUGAUGUCUUCGGAUGGAUUUGAGUAGGAGCGUAGCUGUUGGGACCCGAAAGAUGGUGAACUAUGCCUGAAUAGGGCGAAGCCAGAGGAAACUCUGGUGGAGGCUCGCAGCGGUUCUGACGUGCAAAUCGAUCGUCAAAUUUGGGUAUAGGGCGAAAGAC